GACGAACGCUGGCGGCGUGCCUAAUACAUGCAAGUGGGACGCAAGGAAACACACUGUGCUUGCACACCGUGUUUUCUUGAGUCGCGAACGGGUGAGUAACGCGUAGGUAACCUGCCUAUUAGCGGGGGAUAACUAUUGGAAACGAUAGCUAAUACCGCAUAAUAUUAAUUAUUGCAUGAUAAUUGAUUGAAAGAUGCAAGCGCAUCACUAGUAGAUGGACCUGCGUUGUAUUAGCUAGUUGGUAAGGUAAGAGCUUACCAAGGCGACGAUACAUAGCCGACCUGAGAGGGUGAUCGGCCACACUGGGACUGAGACACGGCCCAGACUCCUACGGGAGGCAGCAGUAGGGAAUCUUCGGCAAUGGACGAAAGUCUGACCGAGCAACGCCGCGUGAGGGAAGAAGGGUUUCGGAUCGUAAAGCUCUGUUGUAAGUCAAGAACGUGUGUGAGAGUGGAAAGUUCACACAGUGACGGUAGCUUACCAGAAAGGGACGGCUAACUACGUG
This 505-nucleotide ribosomal RNA is filed under the name uncultured bacterium. Its description in RNAcentral is "partial 16S ribosomal RNA". It matches the Rfam family "Bacterial small subunit ribosomal RNA", at positions 28 to 507 of the family's 1533-position model. The record is from RNAcentral.